Molecule: ribosomal RNA, 253 nt
Filed under: uncultured bacterium
Lineage: Bacteria
Description: partial 16S ribosomal RNA
Rfam family: Bacterial small subunit ribosomal RNA
Source: RNAcentral
UACGUAGGGGGCUAGCGUUGUCCGGAAUCAUUGGGCGUAAAGAGCGCGUAGGCGGCUAGAUAAGUCCGGUGUGAAAGUCACAGGCUCAACCUGUGAAUGCCGCUGGAAACUGUCUGGCUGGAGUCCGGAAGGGGCGAGUGGAAUUCCUGGUGUAGCGGUGAAAUGCGCAGAUAUCAGGAGGAACACCAAUGGCGAAGGCAGCUCGCUGGGACGGUACUGACGCUGAGGCGCGAAAGCGUGGGGAGCAAACAGG